GAUGAACGCUGGCGGCGUGCCUAAUACAUGCAAGUCGAGCGAACAGACGAGGAGCUUGCGCCUCAUAUGCUAGCGACUGACGGGCGGGUAACACGUAGAGAACCCACCUGUAACACUGGUAUCCCUUCGGGAAACCGGACCUAAUCCCGGACAAUAUCUCUAACCGCAUGUUUCCAUAGUCCCCGACGCUCUUGCUGUCACUUAUAGAUGGAUCCGCGCCGCACUAGCAAGUUGCUAAGGUAACGGCUUACCAAGGCGACGAUGCGUAGCCCACCUGAGAGGGUGUUCCGCCACACUGGAAGUGAGACACGCACGAGACUCCUACGGGAGGCAGCGAUACGGAAUUUGCCGCAAUAGGAGAGGGACUGACGGAGCAACACGGCCUGGGAGAUGAUGGGCUUCGGAUCGUAAAACGCUGUUGUUGUGGAAGUACAGCCGACCCAGUAACCAUGCACAAAUUGACAGUACCAGCUCAGAAAGCCACGGCCAACUACGUG
This 497-nucleotide ribosomal RNA is filed under the name uncultured bacterium. RNAcentral describes it as "partial 16S ribosomal RNA". It matches the Rfam family "Bacterial small subunit ribosomal RNA", at positions 28 to 507 of the family's 1533-position model. The record is from RNAcentral.